GAGUUUGAUCCUGGCUCAGAUUGAACGCUGGCGGCAUGCCUUACACAUGCAAGUCGAACGGCAGCACGGGGGCAACCCUGGUGGCGAGUGGCGAACGGGUGAGUAAUACAUCGGAACGUGUCCUGUAGUGGGGGAUAGCCCGGCGAAAGCCGGAUUAAUACCGCAUACGAUCUGUGGAUGAAAGCGGGGGAUCCUUCGGGACCUCGCGCUACAGGGGCGGCCGAUGGCAGAUUAGCUAGUUGGUGGGGUAAAGGCCUACCAAGGCGACGAUCUGUAGCUGGUCUGAGAGGACGACCAGCCACACUGGGACUGAGACACGGCCCAGACUCCUACGGGAGGCAGCAGUGGGGAAUUUUGGACAAUGGGCGAAAGCCUGAUCCAGCAAUGCCGCGUGUGUGAAGAAGGCCUUCGGGUUGUAAAGCACUUUUGUCCGGAAAGAAAGCUUCGUCCCUAAUAUGGAUGGAGGAUGACGGUACCGGAAGAAUAAGCACCGGCUAACUACGUGCCAGCAGCCGCGGUAAUACG
Molecule: ribosomal RNA, 525 nt
Filed under: uncultured eubacterium WR897
Lineage: Bacteria
Description: bacterial SSU rRNA
Rfam family: Bacterial small subunit ribosomal RNA
Source: RNAcentral